UCGCUCGUUGGACCAAGAAGGAUUUAGCCUCUCCCUGUAAUGGCGUCACCUAUUACCUUGAAGGGGUCACCUGCAACAAUGAUCGCAUAUGCAACGGGGAAACUCUCGGGGAGGGUCUUGGGGUUUGUAUAGAGAGAGAGCAGCUUUUGUGAAUUGGUGGCUUGGACGAUAGAGAGAGAAUGGUCAUUACAGCAACUGCGGUGCCAUGGGCUAGAGAGAUGAGGCUGCUUUCUGCUUCCUUUCAAAAUUCAGGCGAUGGCAGGGGAAAGCAACAAAGUAGGCAGAGAGAUAAGCAAGGAGAAAGAAGGCCAAGGAUGGUAGGGCCGGGAAAUUAAAUUCGAGCAUGAUGGGCGAUGGGGGUCUUCUCUAUUUGUACAAAUAUUUAAGGUUGCUGGAUUUUUUUCCAAGAUUGAGAUCGAUCGUUCUCUCUCUCACGAGAGAUUAAAGGUUG
This 451-nucleotide long non-coding RNA is filed under the name Amborella trichopoda. Its description in RNAcentral is "long non-coding RNA (ATRI_LNC004790)". Lineage: Eukaryota; Viridiplantae; Streptophyta; Magnoliopsida; Amborellales; Amborellaceae. The record is from RNAcentral.